RNAcentral lists this ribosomal RNA (420 nucleotides) under uncultured bacterium. RNAcentral's name for it is "bacterial SSU rRNA". It matches the Rfam family "Bacterial small subunit ribosomal RNA", at positions 355 to 774 of the family's 1533-position model. The record is from RNAcentral.
UAAGGAAUAUUGCUCAAUGGGAGAAAUCCUGAAGCAGCAACGCCGCGUGGAGGAUGAAGGGUCUAUGACUUGUAAACUCCUGUAAAGAAGGAAAAAAUUCCCAUUUGAUGGGAGAUGAUGGUACUUCUGGAGUAAGCCCCGGCUAACUACGUGCCAGCAGCCGCGGUAAUACGUAGGGGGCAAGCGUUGUCCGGAUUUACUGGGUGUAAAGGGUGCUCAGGCGGAUUUGUAAGUCAGAGGUGAAAUCUUACAGCUUAACUGUGAAACUGCCUGUGAUACUGCGAGCCUAGAGUAUGGAAGAGAGUGAUUGAAUAUCUGGUGUCGCAGUGAAAUGCGUAGAUAUCAGAUAAAAGACCAAUGGCGAAGGCAGUCACUUGGUCCAUUACUGACGCUAAAGCACGAAAGCGUGGGUAGCAAACA